GGGUUGUGAGGUUAAGCGACUAAGCGUACACGGUGGAUGCCUAGGCAGUCAGAGGCGAUGAAGGGCGUGCUAAUCUGCGAAAAGCGUCGGCAAGGUGAUAUGAACCGUUAUACCCGACGAUACCCGAAUGGGGAAACCCAGUGUGAUUCGUCACACUAUCAUUAACUGAAUCCAUAGGUUAAUGAGGCGAACCGGGGGAACUGAAACAUCUCAGUACCCCGAGGAAAAGAAAUCAACCGAGAUUCCCCCAGUAGCGGCGAGCGAACGGGGAGGAGCCCAGAACCUGAAUCGGCUUGUGUGUCAGUGGAAGCGUCUGGAAAGGCGCACGAUACAGGGUGACAGUCCCGUACACGAAGAUGCACAGGUCGUGAGUUCGACGAGUAGGGCGGGACACGUGGUAUCCUGUCUGAACAUGGGGGGACCAUCCUCCAAGGCUAAAUACUCCUGACUGACCGAUAGUGAACCAGUACCGUGAGGGAAAGGCGAAAAGAACCCCGGCGAGGGGAGUGAAAUAGAACCUGAAACCGUGUACGUACAAGCAGUGGGAGCACCUUUAGGGUGUGACUGCGUACCUUUUGUAUAAUGGGUCAGCGACUUAUAUUCUGUAGCAAGGUUAACCGAAUAGGGGAGCCGCAGGGAAACCGAGUCUUAACUGGGCGUCUAGUUGCAGGGUAUAGACCCGAAACCCGGUGAUCUAGCCAUGGGCAGGUUGAAGGUUGGGUAACACUAACUGGAGGACCGAACCGACUAAUGUUGAAAAAUUAGCGGAUGACUUGUGGCUGGGGGUGAAAGGCCAAUCAAACCGGGAGAUAGCUGGUUCUCCCCGAAAGCUAUUUAGGUAGCGCCUCGUGAACUCAUCUUCGGGGGUAGAGCACUGUUUCGGCUAGGGGGCCAUCCCGGCUUACCAACCCGAUGCAAACUGCGAAUACCGAAGAAUGUUAUCACGGGAGACACACGGCGGGUGCUAACGUCCGUCGUGAAGAGGGAAACAACCCAGACCGCCAGCUAAGGUCCCAAAGUCAUGGUUAAGUGGGAAACGAUGUGGGAAGGCCCAGACAGCCAGGAUGUUGGCUUAGAAGCAGCCAUCAUUUAAAGAAAGCGUAAUAGCUCACUGGUCGAGUCGGCCUGCGCGGAAGAUGUAACGGGGCUAAAACCAUGCACCGAAGCUGCGGCAGCGACACUGUGUGUUGUUGGGUAGGGGAGCGUUCUGUAAGCCUGUGAAGGUGGCCUGUGAGGGCUGCUGGAGGUAUCAGAAGUGCGAAUGCUGACAUAAGUAACGAUAAUGCGGGUGAAAAACCCGCACGCCGGAAGACCAAGGGUUCCUGUCCAACGUUAAUCGGGGCAGGGUGAGUCGACCCCUAAGGCGAGGCUGAAAAGCGUAGUCGAUGGGAAACAGGUUAAUAUUCCUGUACUUGGUGUUACUGCGAAGGGGGGACGGAGAAGGCUAUGUCAUCCGGGCGACGGUUGUCCCGGUUUAAGCGUGCAGGUGGGUGGACCAGGUAAAUCCGGUCUGCUGUUAACACUGAGGCGUGAUGACGAGGCACUACGGUGCUGAAGUGACAGAUGCCCGGCUUCCAGGAAAAGCCUCUAAGCAUCAGGUAACAUUGAAUCGUACCCCAAACCGACACAGGUGGUCAGGUAGAGAAUACUCAGGCGCUUGAGAGAACUCGGGUGAAGGAACUAGGCAAAAUGGUGCCGUAACUUCGGGAGAAGGCACGCUCCUGUUGGUGAAGUCCCUUGCGGAUGGAGCUGAGGGGAGUCGCAGAUACCAGCUGGCUGCAACUGUUUAAUAAAAACACAGCACUGUGCAAACACGAAAGUGGACGUAUACGGUGUGACGCCUGCCCGGUGCCGGAAGGUUAAUUGAUGGGGUUAUCCGUAAGGAGAAGCUCUUGAUCGAAGCCCCGGUAAACGGCGGCCGUAACUAUAACGGUCCUAAGGUAGCGAAAUUCCUUGUCGGGUAAGUUCCGACCUGCACGAAUGGCGUAAUGAUGGCCAGGCUGUCUCCACCCGAGACUCAGUGAAAUUGAACUCGCUGUGAAGAUGCAGUGUACCCGCGGCAAGACGGAAAGACCCCGUGAACCUUUACUAUAGCUUGACACUGAACCUUGAGCCUUGAUGUGUAGGAUAGGUGGGAGGCUUUGAAGUGUGGACGCCAGUCUGCAUGGAGCCAACCUUGAAAUACCACCCUUUAAUGUUUGAUGUUCUAACCUGGGCCCGUAAUCCGGGCUGGGGACAGUGUCUGGUGGGUAGUUUGACUGGGGCGGUCUCCUCCCAAAGAGUAACGGAGGAGCACGAAGGUUAGCUAAUCCUGGUCGGACAUCAGGAGGUUAGUGCAAAGGCAUAAGCUAGCUUGACUGCGAGAGUGACGGCUCGAGCAGGUGCGAAAGCAGGUCUUAGUGAUCCGGUGGUUCUGAAUGGAAGGGCCAUCGCUCAACGGAUAAAAGGUACUCCGGGGAUAACAGGCUGAUACCGCCCAAGAGUUCAUAUCGACGGCGGUGUUUGGCACCUCGAUGUCGGCUCAUCACAUCCUGGGGCUGAAGUAGGUCCCAAGGGUAUGGCUGUUCGCCAUUUAAAGUGGUACGCGAGCUGGGUUUAGAACGUCGUGAGACAGUUCGGUCCCUAUCUGCCGUGGGCGUUGGAAGAUUGAGGGGGGUUGCUCCUAGUACGAGAGGACCGGAGUGAACGCACCGCUGGUGUUCGGGUUGUCAUGCCAAUGGCACUGCCCGGUAGCUACGUGCGGAAGAGAUAACCGCUGAAAGCAUCUAAGCGGGAAACUUGCCCCGAGAUGAGUCUUCCCUGGGCCCUUGAGGCCCCUGAAGGGACGUUCGAGACGAGGACGUUGAUAGGCUGGGUGUGUAAGCGUAGCGAUACGUUGAGCUAACCAGUACUAAUGACCCGAGAGGCUUAACCUUACAACACCGAAGGUGUUU
Molecule: ribosomal RNA, 2933 nt
Filed under: Dickeya zeae EC1
Lineage: Bacteria; Pseudomonadati; Pseudomonadota; Gammaproteobacteria; Enterobacterales; Pectobacteriaceae
Description: bacterial LSU rRNA
Rfam family: Bacterial large subunit ribosomal RNA
Source: RNAcentral